This 593-nucleotide ribosomal RNA is filed under the name Pseudovibrio sp. UST050418-567. RNAcentral's name for it is "bacterial SSU rRNA". It matches the Rfam family "Bacterial small subunit ribosomal RNA", at positions 51 to 685 of the family's 1533-position model. The record is from RNAcentral. Lineage: Bacteria; Pseudomonadati; Pseudomonadota; Alphaproteobacteria; Hyphomicrobiales; Stappiaceae.
ACACAUGCAGUCGAACGGAUCUUCGGGAUUAGUGGCAGACGGGUGAGUAACGGCGUGGGAAGCUACCUUGUGGUAGGGGACAACAGUUUGAAAAGACUGCUAAUACCCUAUGAGCCCUAUUGGGGAAAGAUUUAUCGCCAUGAGAUGUGCCCGCGUUAGAUUAGCUAGUUGGUAAGGUAAUGGCUUACCAAGGCGACGAUCUAUAGCUGGUCUGAGAGGAUGAUCAGCCACACUGGGACUGAGACACGGCCCAGACUCCUACGGGAGGCAGCAGUGGGGAAUAUUGGACAAUGGGGGCAACCCUGAUCCAGCCAUGCCGCGUGUGUGAUGACGGCCUUAGGGUUGUAAAGCACUUUCAGCAGUGAACGAUAAUGACAUUAACUGCAGAAGAAGCCCCGGCUAACUUCGUGCCAGCAGCCGCGGUAAUACGAAGGGGGCUAGCGUUGUUCGGAAUCACUGGGCGUAAAGAGUACGUAGGCGGACUGAUAAGUUAGGGGUGAAAUCCCAAGGCUCAACCUUGGAACUGCCUUUGAUUACUGUCAGUCCUUGAGAUCGAGGAGACGGUGAGUUGGAAACUCCCGAGUGUCAGAGGU